This is a long non-coding RNA of Diceros bicornis minor, 3091 nucleotides long. RefSeq lists it as uncharacterized. The record is from RefSeq and is a predicted model, not a curated record. The transcript has 3 exons. Lineage: Eukaryota; Metazoa; Chordata; Mammalia; Perissodactyla; Rhinocerotidae.
AUGAACUAUUUAAAAUGCAAAUUUGACCUUUUCACUCCUUUGCUUAAAGCUUUUCAGUGUCUUCCCACGUCCUGUAAGUAAAGUUCAUGGCCCUCCCAUGAUUUGACCCCUGUUUACUUCUCCAACCUCCUAACCAUUUCUGUCCCUCAACUUCAGUUCCUGCAAUACUGAUCUGUAUGUAGUUCCAUUCACACAUUAUGGCAUUCCUCCUCCUAGUCUUCAUUUAUGCUGUCUACUCCUACUGCAAUUGCCUCUCCUCCGCUUUCCCUCCUUUUCUUGACUGAACUCAUAUUUAUCCUUUGAGACUGAGGUGAAUAUUUCCUUUUCCAGAAAUCCUUCUCUUACCCUCUAGAUUAUAUUGGGCAUCUGUGUCCCCUCCGUGCCUUCUUUCAGUUCUGUGGAUGUCUUUAUUACUGGACUCAACACAAUGAUCUGUUUAUGUGAUAGUGAGUUCUUUGUGGACAAGCUUAGUGUUUUAUUCAUUUUUGUAUCUUUAGCAUCCAGCAGAGUGUCUGACACAUAGUUGGAGUUCAGUGAAUCUUUGCCGAAUUGAGUUGAGGAGAGAGAGAUCCAGAGAAUAAGAAAAGGGAUACAAGGAAACAAUGGAGAGAAAGUAUUCUAGGAUUAGAGGUGUAUUUUAUUAUGUUGGAAAUCAUCCUUGUUCACUGCAAACAUAGCUUCAGAAUACUUUUGCUCUUACUUGUGCUCUAUGAAAUACAAAUUAACUUAAUUACUAAUUUUCAACCAGUCCAAAUCAUAAUCUUUAGAGAUUAGGUCUGAAUGAGAGCCAUAGCAGCCCACAAUACUGGAAAGUGUUAUCUGGUCUGCUGCAGCUCUGAACAGAGCAGGGGCAAAUGGAAUAAAAUUGAGGACUGCUUUCUUGCCGUAUCCAGAGAACUUUUCCCUCAGUGUGCAACUCCAGUCAUGGGCCACCCAAGCUGCUUGUUUCUUUCUCUUUAGUGAAAAAAUUCCUUUGGAUUAUCCAAAGGGUAGUUUAGGAGAACUAAACCACAGUGUGACUGAAAGAUGUUGAAAGAAAGUACACAGUAAGCUCUUCAUGAUCUGACUCGGUUUACCUCUUCAGUCCUACCUUUCUUUGAUUCCUCACCCACUUUGAUAUAACCAUGACAAACUACUUAGAUUUGACUGAAUGUGCUAUGCCCCUAUGUAUUUAUCUACUCCUACUCCCUGAAAGGCUUUUCUUCUCCUAUGUCUUUGCCUGGACAAUUCUGGAUAAUCUUCAAGACUCAGUUCGGUUGUUGAGUCUUCUAGAGUUAGGACUAGACUUACUCUUUUCUUAAAUUCUUUCAAUUUGUGUUAGAAACCAUAAUACACUUGUUACCUCUCAUAACAAUUAACUUAUUGUAUUAAAAUCAGGUUUUAUUUGUCUUUCCAUCUCCCUACCUUCAAUGCUGAGAUCCCCUUGAGGACAGUGACUAUAACUAAUUUCAGUAUCCCUAGCAUUUGGUAUGACAAAGCCAGUUUUCCAUGAUUAUUUGUAGGGCCAAUCAAUGAAAAAAAUUAUGAAAAUAUGAAUGACGAGCAAAAGCAACUCUUAAGCUCCCUGAAAAUAUGAACAAACAGCAGCUACAUUAACCAAAGUGACUAUUCAAUAAGAAGUGGUGUAUAUAAAAAUCUUUUUAUAAACUAUAAGGUGCUAUAAAAGCAUUAAUUAGUCUUACUAGGUUAGAAUGUCCUACCCCCUCCCUUACGUGAGGCUGGUGAUGUACCUGCUCUGCCUCUCUCUAACUCACCCUUUUUUUUUUUUUUUGUGAGGAAGAUCAGCCCUGAGCUAACAUCUGAUGCUGAUCCUCCACUUUUUACUGAGGAAGAUUGGCCCUGAGCUAACAUCCAUGCCCAUCUUCCUCUAGUUUAUAUGGGACGCCGCCACAACAUGGCUCGGUUCCAGUGAUAUGGACUGAGUCCUUUCUUUUUUGGACCUUGUGAUGCGACUCUAGAGAUACAUAUGGAUAUACUUCCAUCUUCAGUCCCUAUGACCCCUUGGUGGAUAGCUGAUGCCUCCAGAUGACUUACGCAGUUGGAUUUGGUUGAAAAAUGCACAACUUAACUUGACCCUGGAAGGAAAUUGAAGCAUUUGUGAUUCUGUAAUAAGGUCAUAUAUUUAGAUAAAAUUUUAUAAUUUAUUAUAUACUUUGACUUGCAUGUAUCACGUCAUUUAAUUGUCACCUUAACCUUGUGAGGUGUAGUUUCCUGUUUUGAUUAGGAAGCCAAAGCUCAGAGAGAUUGUGAUUUACUUAAAGUUACAACAUGAAAUAGGUAGAGCUGCAUCUAAAAUCUAGAUUCUUCUUUCUCUGUACCCUUUUCUUCUUACUCAGUGCCCCUUUUCUCUAUGCAGAUAAACUCCUUUCUGAGCUCUGCAUUAGUCAAUUAUGAUGUUUUUGUCUAAAAGCACCAAGGAUGGGUAAAAAAUUGUUUAAGCUGGAAAGAGCCUGUAUGGUCUGUGACAGGUGCUGCGUAGGUUGGUUGAAAAAUAACUUAAAGAUUGUCUCCUUUCCCUAUGUGUUUUUGUUAACGCUUAUAAUACUUUUAUGACUUAGAGUCCUUCUGGUGCCUCUGGUAUAUUUCAGACUGAUUUUAGGUUGUCAGGAAAGGAGAUUUUCGCUCCAGAGCUCAAUUCCUUUAUAGCUUCUUAUUUUCCUUUGUAUCUGGAAAUUUAUUUCUUAGCCAGAGCUUAGAGUGGCAUCAGACUUAAGUUCCUACUGGGAAGACUGUUCCCUGCUGAUCUAUUUUUUUCUGCCUUCUUUUUUUUCACAUAGCCAAUCUCUCUUGCUAAGCACCUACCCCUGCCCCAUGCCGUUAAUUCCAGCUAUAGUUAUAUGCAAGGUUCUUGGAGUCAAAGGCCAGUGAGUUUUGGGGUAGGGAAAGGGUAUGAAGUUCCUCUCCCUUCUGAUUCCACGUGUUCCCCGCAAACCCUGAGAGUACCCUGUUGCUGUGCCCACUUCCCAGAACCCUGUGCCUUUCUUCAGACCGUUUAGGAGCAAAGAUCUGGGCAGUGGCCUUGAGGGAAAACAGACUUCCCAGAGAUUCUUCAGUGAGUUGAUUUGGUUUUUCCCAUAGUUUGAGCUUAAAA